RNAcentral lists this long non-coding RNA (205 nucleotides) under Phoenix dactylifera (date palm). RNAcentral describes it as "long non-coding RNA (PDAC_LNC000086)". The record is from RNAcentral. Lineage: Eukaryota; Viridiplantae; Streptophyta; Magnoliopsida; Arecales; Arecaceae.
CCAAAGCGGACAAUACCUUCUGGGGGACACUCUCUCUUCUGCUGCUCGGCUGGUGUGUGGGCUCUGCUGGUGACGGGGUGUAAAUCCCGCAUCAGAUGGCGCUAGAAGGAGGGCCUCGGCCCUCCGCCUAUCCAGCAAGGAGCCGACCCGGGCACAGGACCUCCCCGCUGGGGGGGCUGUGUUACGGGGGGUUCCCCGAAUUUAN